This 209-nucleotide ribosomal RNA is filed under the name uncultured Desulfocapsa sp. RNAcentral describes it as "partial 16S ribosomal RNA". It matches the Rfam family "Bacterial small subunit ribosomal RNA", at positions 1175 to 1382 of the family's 1533-position model. The record is from RNAcentral. Lineage: Bacteria; Pseudomonadati; Thermodesulfobacteriota; Desulfobulbia; Desulfobulbales; Desulfocapsaceae.
GGGGAUGACGUCAAGUCCUCAUGGCCUUUAUGACCAGGGCUACACACGUACUACAAUGGCAGGUACAAAGGGCAGCCACUUAGCGAUAAGGCGCGAAUCCCGUAAAACCUGUCUCAGUCCGGAUUGGAGUCUGCAACUCGACCCCAUGAAGUUGGAAUCGCUAGUAAUCGCAGAUCAGCACGCUGCGGUCGAAUACGUUCCCGGGCCUU